ACUUAGUCCCUUCCACCCCUAUAAAUACCAUCAUCUUUUCUCACUUAAAGGAGGCCCAACGCCCAUCAUUCUAAGCUCUCUAAAAAAAAAAGCUCUCAUUCACUCACUUGCUUUUUAAGUUUCUCUAAAAAAUCAGUAAGAAAAAAAAAUAGUUUCAUUCAAGUCAAAAAAUAGUUUUAGUUAAAGUAAAAUAAAAAAAAAAAUCAAAAAAACAAGUUUUUAGUUUAAUUAAUAUCAAUAUUCAGAAAAUCAAAAAAGAAGUUAUUCAAUUUUCUUGGACAAUUCACUUUGCAGUCACUUUUUUAUUUCGAUUGAUCAUUUGGACUAAUCUCUCAAACAUUGCUAGUCAGAGCCAAAGGGCACUAUACGUGCCGGUUACCUAAUUUGGAAACCAACUAGAAUUUGACCGACCACGGGUGAGACUCGAGGGUGAGUGUAUGUGAAGUUUUUUUUUUUUUUUUACGUAUGUUGAUCACCAAAAAAUGUUUUUAUCAAAACAAAAUUAAAGUGAGAAGGUGCAUAAGAAAAUUCGACAGAAAGAUGGUGGAACUUUAGUACUAGCCAAUUUCUUCAUUUUCUUUUUUUGUCAAAUUUUAUUGGUAACUAUAUAAAAUAUAUUCACUUUUCAAAAUUCAUAAAAGAAAUUCUUUACAGAAGCUUGAAGUAUUUAGAAGACCACGACAUUUGGAAUUUUUCAAAAACAAGUUUUAGAAAAAUCACAAUAAAUCCUAAACUUCAGACUAGCAAAACUAUCUUUUUCAGGUUCCGAUUUCUUCUUUGGUGAAAUUCGAGUAGGUUAACUUAUUAUUUUCUAAAAUCUCAAAGAAUAUCAUAGAAGGACAAAAUCCUAAGCUUUCUAAAUUGACCUCUCCCACCUCCACACGAUUUUUAUUCAAUUUUAUAGAAUAUUUUCAAAAACAGAAAUCUAGGAAGACAGUUUCUUAAAAAUGACAAUUUCAAAUAAAUAAGUUUUAUUUUAUUAAAAAUAUUAAAUAAACUUUAAAAUCUGAGCUUUUUAUACACAUGACUCCAAAAUGUUUCUAAAGUCUAUUUUAAAAAUAAAAACGUGAUUUUGUUUUCAAAUAAUUAAUUUAUAAUUUAAUUUCACUUCAAGGUCUAAAAAAGGAGCAGCUUUAAUGAAAAAUUAUUUAUAAAUUAUCUACUUCUGAGUUUGAAACCCUUUUUUAACACGUUAAAGAAAACACUUAGAUCUUUCCAAGAAGGUAUCAAACGCUCAAAUCCGAGUUCGGGAGGUCUUGGUAUUAAAUUUAAAGUUCAACGAGAUGUAAUUUUCUCAACAUUUUUUAAAAAAAAGAAAAUUAGUUUUCUCUUAUAAAAUCCGAUUUACCCAAAAUAAAUUCCUAUUUUUCCUAGAUAACAGAUUUUGUAAGUAUACAUACUCCAAACCAUUUACCACUUCGUUAUACUUACCUAAAAUUAAUUUAGGUUAAGUUAAGUAAAGUGGAAAAUUCUAAAAUAAACCCAAAUAUAAGUUUUGUUUACUUAGGUCGCUACUUUCCAAACAUCCAAGGCGAAGAAAUAUGAAGACUAGUCAAGGAAACACAGUUCAAGGCGAAGGAAUCAAGACUUGAAGCUGCUCAUUAGAUAUGAAUUCUGAUUAUUGUAAUAUUUUGUAUUUAUGGCACUUGUAAACUAAAGUUCCACCACCAAAGUAAUAAAACAACAAAAAAGUUAUCUUAUGCA
Long non-coding RNA from Spinacia oleracea (spinach), 1704 nucleotides. RefSeq lists it as uncharacterized. NCBI's taxonomy places the organism in Eukaryota, Viridiplantae, Streptophyta, Magnoliopsida, Caryophyllales, Amaranthaceae. The transcript has 2 exons. The record is from RefSeq and is a predicted model, not a curated record.